CUUGGGCUGCUCGGUGGUUUUCCUUUUACCUCUUUUAUUUCUCUCUCUUUUCCUUAUCCUUUUUAUUUUCAUUUAUUUAAUUUUGAACUCGAGAGCACUCACAAAUUAAAUGAAUGUUCAUCAAACAUAUGCAUCAAGCUAAAGAAAUAAAAUAUGAGCUCCGGCAUGAUGCAACAUUUCAUAACUCCUCACUACCGGAAUUUGGCUCUUUGCCGAGUGCCAAAUUCUUUGCCGAGUGUUUUAUUUCGGGCACUCGGCAAAGAGCUCUUUGCCGAGUGCCACACAAAAAACACUCGGUAAAAGAAAACACUCGGCGAAGAAGCUCUUUGCCGAGUGUUUUAUUUUUGACACUCGGCAAAGAGUUUCUUUGCCGAGUGUCUUUUUUUGACACUCGGCAAAGAACUCUUUGCCGAGUGUCACAAAUACAACACUCGGCAAAGAGCUCUUUGCCGAGUGUUUUUUCUCCAACACUAGGCAAAGACAAUUUAAAAAUCACAUUUUAAAGUAGUAAAUUAAUUCAAAUGAAAAAGUUUUCAACUACAAAUUUGUAUAACUCAUCAUGAUGUACAAUUUAUAUAUUGAACAUUUCUUCAUAUGACAAAAUAAAAAUAAAUUUGUUCAUAAAACCUAUAUCUCUCGUAGUUUAUGAAACUACGAGAGAGACGUAUAGAAUUUGUGCAUAUUGUUAGAACCAUCAUCUGAGAUAAACAAAUUACCAAACAACCAAAAUAAACUUUGUAGAUCUUGAGAAGUUAUAGAAGUUUAUAGUUGACAACUUUUUCAUUUAAAGUCAUAUUGUCAACGAAAACUACGUCUGAAUUUAAAAAAUUUAAAAUUUGAAUUUUGAAAACGACUUCGAAAGGAAAAACCACCAACAUGAAAGUUGUAGGUAUUGAAGAGUUAUGAAACUUUGUAGUUGACAAUGUUUUAGUUUGAAAUCAUCUUGGUAUGCAAAACUAUGUUUGAAUUUUAAAAUUUGAAUUUUUCAAACUGUCUCGGAUGGAAAAAACACCAAAAUAAAAGUUGUAGGUCUUGAAAUGUAAUGAAACUUUGUAGUUGACAAUUUUUUGAUUUGAAAUCAUCUUAUCAUUGAAAAUUUCGUGUGAAGUUUUUAAAUUUAAAAUUCAAAUUUUAUAAACGGUCUCGGAUGUAGAAACUAUUAAAAUAAAACUUUUAGAUCUCAAAAAGUUAUGCAACUUUAUAGUUGGUCACAUUUUCAAAUGAACUCAUUUAGCGUCUUAAAUAAUCAAAUUACUCUCGAUUUGUUAUAGUACAUGGGGAAUGGAAACGUAAUAUAAACAUAAUUGGUGUAGUAGUGUAGUGGUAUAAGAGGGUAUGCGCGAGAGAGAGGUUGCGAGUUCGAAUCUCACCAUUUACAAAACAUAUAAGUUUGAUUCAAAAUAAUAGUGAAAAAUGAUAGAGCAACGGGUAAGGUAAUAGGGUAGGGUUGGAGAGUUGUUCCUAUAAUUUAAAAAAUGUUUUGCUGUUUUUUUUAAUUUUUUCGAUUCUUAAUUUGUCGAGUGUUUUUCUUUGCCGAGUGCUUUUUGGCACUCGGCAAAGUCUUUGCCGAGUGUCCGAAAAAAAGCACUCGGCAAAGAACCCUUUGCCGAUAAAAUCUUUGCCGAGUGUUCUUUGCCGAGUGUUACACUCGGCAAAGCCUUUGCCGAGUGUAAAAUAGCCUUUGCCGAGUGUCUUAGACACUCGGCAAAGAACGCGAUUCCGGUAGUGCCUAUAGGAUUUUAUUAUUACAUGGAACCAAAAUAAUAUUCUCCACUCCUUUGAGAAAAAAAGAGAGAAGAGGGUAAGGAGAAAAGAAGGUAACACCUGAAUUUUCAUGGGCGUUAAGAAAUUUUUAUACCCAAAAUUCAGGGUGUUACAAUUACAAACUUGUCCUAAGAUACUGUACAUAGAGACUAUAUGAUCCUAUAGGGGCACCAUCGUCUCUUCCCCUUAUUCUUCAUUGACAUGUUCAUAAGCGCCUUAACCGUGGAGCCAAAACUCUUAGCCUUGCUUUGUGUACGCGCCGUUCAAACAAAGGUUCUGAAUGAAGUUGUAUUUUGUUAUCUCUUUGAAGCACAUGAAACAGACUUCGAAACAGUUGGUAACUCUAUAAUUUGAGGAGCUUCGGUAGGAGAAGACCCAACAUUUUUCACAGUUAUUCUAAACUACAUAAUGGUUGGAGCUUAUCUCAUACCAUAUACAUGGUGCAUCUUUUCAUUCAUCUGCCUAAGUUGUAAGUGAAAGAAUGACCUCAUCCAUAAGACAUAGAUCACCCAGUGCUUGUUUCAGAUUAUGUAUUAGGGGUUUUCAAGAUUUUUCAAAAGAAGGUAGUUCCGUAGAGGUACACUCGAUUGCUCAAUGUGUAUCCUCACAUUGUAGCCUUUCUUUGCUUGGACCAUAUCCCUAUAAUAAAGUUUAUGUGGAGCUUGGAUAAGUUGAAAUGGUGGCUACUUAGGCUGCUUGUAUCGCUAAUACAAAGAUUGGUCUAAAGAGUAUACUAUAUCAUAAACCUAUUUCAAACCUUGGAGUAAGUGUGUGGUAUUAUUUUAUCUCCAUUGAUGAAUCCUCUUUCCAAGAUCUAAGAUCACGUGGAGCACCAUUCUUUCUUUUAGCCAUGCUUUUGCGUGCUUUUUCUUUAUAUGCCCUUUUGCCUUUUUUCUAUGCCCAUUUGACAUUUUUUCUUUUUUUUGGACUCCACAUAUCAUCUUUCUAUGACUCUUAGAAUAUUAGGGCUUUCUUUGAUAUAAAUUUUUAGGUGGAUGCAAGGCUCAGAACAUAUCUCUUGCAUUUUUUCACUUGAUAAAUGUCACACCCGGAUUUAGGGGCACCAAACCCGAGCGCGAAUAAUCAAAUGCGUGCUAGGAUCAAGUCUCACACACAUGAUGACUCAUGGUACAUAAAAUGAUGUCACAUCUUUACUAUAUAAUAGGAUUUCUAUAUAAAAUAGUUAAAUAAUUACAUCGUACGAAGACAACGAUCCAUCAACCAAAGUUGACUAGGAGACGACAGCCUAGACCACUCACGAACUCAUCACAACAUCCUUCACGCGCCUCAUUCUAUGGUACCUGUCCUUGACCUAGGGGGUGUGAGUACAGCAAGGGUGAGCUCACAUACGUUCAUCGCUCAACAAGUUGUGGGGAAUAAUGUGCAUGAACUCACCAAAGGUGGGAGCUCAUGUGAGCUCAUGUGAAGUGUAAGGCUUACCAAAGGAGAUGGUUAAAGUUGAGCAUUGCUUUUAAAGUUGGUCAAAAUUUUAUUAGCAUUUACUAAGUAUAAGUAGAUACCAACCCAAAUAAGUAAGAGAUCAAAAUUAAUAACAACACCCGCGAUGCAAUGCAUAUGACAGAUUAGGUUUAAUUCCAUAGAUUAAUCAUGUGAGUGUCCGAGCUGCUCAUGACCGUGAGCACAGCUGAUAUACCAGUUUUACACUCUGCAGAGGUUGCACAUCUUUACCCACAAGUCGUGUAUCCCACCUAGCCAGGGUUUGCAAGGCCCUUAGACACUUCUGAGGUGAAUGGCUAGGGAUCCACUACGAGGCCUUUACAAAGUUCCACUAGCUUCAGAAAACCCGCUACGGUUUCUGAGAAGGGCAAUACAGAAAAUCCCUCGUCCGAAAAGCCAUCGCAGCAUGAUCGACCCAAGAACCUCCCUAUACGCAGCUCCUCUACCGACCUUGCCCCUUUCGGGUAAGGUA
Molecule: long non-coding RNA, 3694 nt
Filed under: Zea mays
Lineage: Eukaryota; Viridiplantae; Streptophyta; Magnoliopsida; Poales; Poaceae
Description: long non-coding RNA (ZMAY_LNC005291)
Source: RNAcentral